Molecule: long non-coding RNA, 1131 nt
Filed under: Oryctolagus cuniculus (rabbit)
Lineage: Eukaryota; Metazoa; Chordata; Mammalia; Lagomorpha; Leporidae
Description: lncRNA (ENSOCUG00000035134.1)
Source: RNAcentral
GGAGAUUACAAGAUGGUAGAAUAGGGAGAGAGCUUACAACUCUAGCUAGAGAAGAUAGUUUUUUUCUCUUUCUAUUGUAUGAUUCGUCCCGAAAGUGGAGAUAGUGCAUUCUCAGGGGGAGUUAGGGAGAAAACCAUAAUGAAAUUCUGCAGAAAGAAGGGGAACCCAUGAGUCUACAUAGAGGGUGCAGACACGCAGCACUUGCACAGGCACAACACAAGAUCUCAACCAUGAAGAGCUUUGGAGAAUGAGGUGAGAUCAGGCUGCAGCAACCUGUGCCACUGGAGAUACAGCUGGGGAGAGAGCCUGGUGUGAAUCUGGCCUGGAGCUCUGUGGGAGACAAGGUACCUGCUAAUGUAGAGCAGAAAAAAAGGUCACAUUUCGCUUCCCCUUCUCCCCCCGACAACCGCAUCCAGCUGAAAGAGGAUGCCAUUUUGCACAUAAGUAACUGCUGUGCUGCGGGGCAUGAGCGCGGCCAUGGUGUAGCCAGGCCAGGCCCGGGGCUCCGCACGUGCAGCUGCUCCCGGGUGCCCUCGCCCAAGCCGCGUGGAGGGGAGCUGCGCGGAGCCAAGCCCGCAAACUAACCCGAGUCAGGGCACGUGGAGCCAGUCGGCCAGGGAUGGCGGCGCAGGGAGGGGCCCGAUGCGCGCGCACGUGGCCCCGGCCUCCGCCAUGGUGGACAGUGGCCCCACGGAGGUGCGGCGGUAACUGCUCUGGCCCCCAGACCAGGCGAUGCGGACGACGCGGACGACGCGGACGAUGCGGGGCGUGGGGGGGGGGGUGCUGUCGGCGCCAAGGAGGGGUCAACAUGAAGUGGGCCUGGCUCCAGGAGGCACAGGGCCAGCUGCAGCACCUGCAGGAGGACUUCAUCUACAGCCUGCAGGCGCUGGAGGAGUGGGAUGUGAGCUGGAGCGUGUGCACAGUGCCGCCAUGAGCAAACUGCUGUCAUGCAAGGAGGGGGAGUGGAUCCUGGAGCAGCUCCCGCGGCCACCACAGCCCCCCAGCAAGAGGAACAUUGGGAACCAGAUGGAGAGGGACCAGGCUGCCGAUGAUGAUGGCGGCAGCCUCCUCUCCAGAGGGCCCUGCGAGAGGGGCAAAGAUGAUGGCGCCCAGAGGAAAAAGAAGAGUUGA